This is a non-coding RNA of Odocoileus virginianus texanus, 834 nucleotides long. NCBI's taxonomy places the organism in Eukaryota, Metazoa, Chordata, Mammalia, Artiodactyla, Cervidae. The record is from RefSeq and is a predicted model, not a curated record.
CCCCCCCCCCAGGCCGAUGAGGUAAGGCCUAAGUACCAAGGAGACCUCACAGAAAGGAGCCAGAUGCACCUUCUUUUAAUACAGCUGCCUCAACACUCAAAACUGGGCCACUUUUUCUGGCCACCCAGCAUUCACUCUAUCGUUUUCCAAACCAUGUCCAUUGUGAGUCUCAGUGGGUGACAUUCCCAGCUUUCCAUGAAGCAGGCAGAAGACACCAAGAGUCCUUUUCUCGUUGCUAAGGGAGAAAAAACCCUGCAGUUUGGAAACUGUGGUGGCAGUGACUGAAGGCCUCACAGCUGGCAUCUUGGUUCAAAGAAGCCAUGUUGGUACUGGAUGGCAAUGACUACAGCAGCAGUGUUGGCCUGGUGUCCUGUGAUGGAGGUGGCCAACAGAAGUGUCUUCACGGAUCCAGACUAGUGGGGUAUUCUGGCCAUGCCUGGUUUUGUGAGAGCUACCUGGCAACCUUCUCUGGUUUAACAGCCCCCAAUCCAUUUCUCUUGUUUACAGCUGAAAAUACUGAAUGAUGCCUCCUCCGUUUGAUACGUCCUCUUGCCAUCAAUAUGAAACUUAACUUCUCUGAGCCAACAAUCACUCAGUAGGUGCUGUGCUAUGGAUUCUUUACUGCCCCAAGAGACUGACAGCCCAGCAUACCUGUUCCACUUGUCUGAAGACCCGCAGCAGGUUUCCACGAAGGAUGCCCUGAAGCUCCUCCUCCCUCCAGCCUCGCCUCAGCAAUUCCUCUAUGAGUACCGGGAGCGGGUUCAGCCCCCACCGACCCGCACACCCCCACCUACGCACCCAUCCACCAGCCGGAAGUCCCGCAUCAGGGCCCGC